GAUGAACGCUGGCGGCGUGCUUAACACAUGCAAGUCGAACGGAAAGGCUCCUGCUUGCAGGGGUACUCGAGUGGCGAACGGGUGAGUAACACGUGGGUGAUCUGCCCUGCACUUCGGGAUAAGCCUGGGAAACUGGGUCUAAUACCGGAUAGGACGAUGGGUUGGAUGCCAUUGUGGAAAGUUUUUCGGUGGGGGAUGAGCUCGCGGCCUAUCAGCUUGUUGGUGGGGUAAUGGCCUACCAAGGCGUCGACGGGUAGCCGGCCUGAGAGGGUGUACGGCCACAUUGGGACUGAGAUACGGCCCAGACUCCUACGGGAGGCAGCAGUGGGGAAUAUUGCACAAUGGGCGGAAGCCUGAUGCAGCGACGCCGCGUGGGGGAUGACGGCCUUCGGGUUGUAAACUCCUUUCGCUAGGGACGAAGCGCAAGUGACGGUACCUGGAGAAGAAGCACCGGCUAACUACGUG
RNAcentral lists this ribosomal RNA (465 nucleotides) under uncultured bacterium. Its description in RNAcentral is "partial 16S ribosomal RNA". It matches the Rfam family "Bacterial small subunit ribosomal RNA", at positions 28 to 507 of the family's 1533-position model. The record is from RNAcentral.